AUGGAAGGUGUUCAACCAGUCAACUUGCGUCUGUAUCGCCACAAACCUGAACUGAAGACUGAAACUGAAAGACAAAUGAAGGAACUAUUGGAUGCUGGCAUUAUUCAGAAGAGCACCAGUCCCUUUUCCUCGCCUGCCCUGCUAGUGAAGAAGAAAGACGGUACCUGGCGCAUGUGCGUGGACUACAGGCACCUGAAUGCUAUGAUUAUCGUCAGCAAAUACCUGGUGCCGAUUAUCGAUGAACUUUUAGAUAAAUUGGUGGGUGGCCGUUGGUUUUCCAAGCUGGAUUUGCGUGCAAGGUACCAUUAG
This 309-nucleotide ribosomal RNA is filed under the name Triticum aestivum (bread wheat). RNAcentral's name for it is "partial small subunit ribosomal RNA". The record is from RNAcentral. Lineage: Eukaryota; Viridiplantae; Streptophyta; Magnoliopsida; Poales; Poaceae.